RNAcentral lists this ribosomal RNA (487 nucleotides) under Medetera minima. Its description in RNAcentral is "partial 16S ribosomal RNA". It matches the Rfam family "Bacterial large subunit ribosomal RNA", at positions 1912 to 2613 of the family's 2925-position model. The record is from RNAcentral. Lineage: Eukaryota; Metazoa; Arthropoda; Insecta; Diptera; Dolichopodidae.
CUGAAUUUUUAAAUGGCCGCAGUAUAUUAACUGUGCAAAGGUAGCAUAAUCAUUAGUUUUUUAAUUGGAGACUUGAAUGAAUGAGUGGACGAGAUAUAAGCUGUUUCAAAAAUAUUAAUAGAAUUUUAUUUUUUAGUAAAAAAGCUAAAAUUUUUUUAAAAGACGAGAAGACCCUAUAGAUCUUUAUAGUUUUUUUAUUUAUUAGAAAUGAGGGUUUAUUUUUAAAUAUAUAAUUAAUUAUUUUAUUGGGGUGAUAUUGAAAUUUAAUUAACUUUUUAUAAGUGUUACCAUUUAUAUAUGAAUAUAUGAUCCUAAAUUAUAGAUUAUAAAUUUAAGUUACCUUAGGGAUAACAGCGUAAUUAUUUUGGAGAGUUCUUAUCGAUAAAAUAGUUUGCGACCUCGAUGUUGGAUUAAGAUUAAUACUAGGCGCAGCAGUUUAGUUUAUUAAGUCUGUUCGACUUUUAAUUUCUUACAUGAUCUGAGUUCA